RNAcentral lists this long non-coding RNA (410 nucleotides) under Strigops habroptila (Kakapo). Its description in RNAcentral is "lncRNA (ENSSHBG00005011998.1)". Lineage: Eukaryota; Metazoa; Chordata; Aves; Psittaciformes; Psittacidae. The record is from RNAcentral.
UUUUUUUUUUUGCACUUACAGUUCUUGAACUGUUUUAAACUUUAAAUCUUAAGUAUUAUGCCUCCAGAUUGAAGCAGUUUGUUGUGUUACUUCUUGUUUCUAGUGCCAAGAUCACAAUCAAAAGGGAGUCACCAAUAAGGAUUUGGUGUACAGCUAAGCAAACUACCUGUGGAGAAAGCUCUGAACAAAACAGGGAAUUGUGUACCAUGUAACCAGACUGCUAUAAACCUUCAGCUGCAGACCACUGACAGGAGUCUAUGGACCACCACUUGGGUGAACCUCUGCUUUAAACCGUUAAAUGAUUCAACAUUUGUUCCCUCUGAUGACACCACGAAUCUGAGAAUGAAGAACUUCUUAGAGCUGAUUGGAAAUGGCAUUGCGGAGCUGAGACUUAACUGGAGGAAAUAUAU